CGAGAUAGAAGGUACUUCCGUACGGAUCGGUGACAGGUGGUGCAUGGUUGUCGUCAGCUCGUGUCGUGAGAUGUUGGGUUAAGUCCCGCAACGAGCGCAACCCCUAUCGUUAGUUGCCAUCAUUCAGUUGGGCACUCUAAGGUGACUGCCGGCUAAAAGUCGGAGGAAGGUGGGGAUGACGUCAAAUCAUCAUGCCCCUUAUGACCUGGGCUACACACGUGCUACAAUGGGCGGUACAAAGGGUCGCGAACCCGCGAGGGGGAGCCAAUCCCAAAAAGCCGCUCUCAGUUCGGAUUGCAGGCUGCAACUCGCCUGCAUGAAGCCGGAAUCGCUAGUAAUCGCGGAUCAGCAUGCCGCGGUCGAAUACGUUCCCGGGCCUU
Molecule: ribosomal RNA, 380 nt
Filed under: uncultured Anoxybacillus sp.
Lineage: Bacteria; Bacillati; Bacillota; Bacilli; Caryophanales; Anoxybacillaceae
Description: bacterial SSU rRNA
Rfam family: Bacterial small subunit ribosomal RNA
Source: RNAcentral